Molecule: ribosomal RNA, 253 nt
Filed under: uncultured bacterium
Lineage: Bacteria
Description: partial 16S ribosomal RNA
Rfam family: Bacterial small subunit ribosomal RNA
Source: RNAcentral
UACGUAGGGUGCAAGCGUUAAUCGGAAUUACUGGGCGUAAAGCGUGCGCAGGCGGUUAUGCAAGACAGAUGGGAAAUCCCGGGGCUCAACUCCGGAACUGCAUUUGAUACUGCCUUGCUAGAGUACUGGAGAGGAGAUUGGAAUUUACGGUGUAGCAGUGAAAUGCGUAGAUAUCGUAAGGAAGACCAGUGGCGAAGGCGAAUCUCUGGACAGUUACUGACGCUGAGGCACGAAGGCCAGGGGAGCAAACGGG